Monodelphis domestica (gray short-tailed opossum) is the source of this 3753-nucleotide long non-coding RNA. RefSeq lists it as uncharacterized. The record is from RefSeq and is a predicted model, not a curated record. Lineage: Eukaryota; Metazoa; Chordata; Mammalia; Didelphimorphia; Didelphidae.
AUAGAAUCAAGGUGUAGCCUGGAGGUGCAUCUCUCUGUCCAUCUUAAAUCUAAAGGAGGAUCAAAGGAGGACAAUCAUCUCAGGGUCCUAUAGGGAUCAUCAGAUGUUUUAGGCUCAGAGUCAUGAGGAUGUAAGGGAGAAAAGGAAUUUCACUGUUGCCCUGGUUUCUGGGGGUACAAUGCCCAUGUCACUUGGUUUCCUCAUCUGUAAAACUAUGGACAUCAUCACAAAAUGAGAAAUGCUCUGACCUAUCGCUCUAGUUAGAAAUGAUCCUUUCAAGCAUUUGAAGCUUAGUUUCCAAGCCUCCAUCUGCAGGAGGAACAUCAGGAAACUCUCCAGGCCAAUUCAGAUCAGUGGGUCUGCCCUGUUCCUAAAAACCUCUAGGCAAAGUCAUUGCACAAACUGUACUAUUCCAUUGCUAAUCAAUGCCCAUCAUCAGUGAUUCUUCCUUACAGCUCAAACUGUAACAAUAGCCUCCUUUCCAAGCUGACUUGAUUGCUGCCCUCUCCUAAGAAGAGCUGACCAGCAAUUCCACCAGUUUAUACAGAGAGACAUCUUUUGCAGUGCAGAAUCCUCCUAUGAUGGCCAUGAAGACCUCUACAAACUAUCCUAUUCUGGAACUUGGAUCUCCAAGACACUAGAAAGAGGGAAGAAGGACAAGGUUUGGGGUUGGGUUUUGGUUGCAGGCAUACAAAAUAGGGUCAGUGCAUCUCACUUUGCAUCCUCACUGAUGAUAGUAUGGUGGUCACUGGGGGAGCUGAAAAAGCUCAAGGAAGCUAUGGAUUGAUGAAGUUUUCUUUUUAAACCUUCUUUGGUGUGCUAGAUGUCCUAUGCCAUAGAGGCAGCUGAAGUUGCUUUAUCAUUGAGGCAUAAUUUCUGUUUUGGAGAGUUUUGAAAGAUUAUGGGAAUAGAGGAAAUGUUCAGUCCUCCAUCUUAUUGGUCAUGUGACCCACUUCCUUGCAUUUGAGGGAAGGUUUUAUUAAUGAUCUUUUUUGCAUAUCAUUACCCAUAAUCCCAUUUCCUUUCAAAUAAAAGCCCUCCUUUGUAACAAAAAUAUAUAGUCAACUGAAAUAAAUAACACUGUAGUAAUAUCUGAAAAUGCAUAUCUCAUUCUGUACCUCUCUUCCAUUGAUAUGGAAGACAUGUUUAUCACUCAUCUUCUGAAGUCCCAAUUGGUCUUUUAGUGUUUGGGCAACUUCCUGAUGAAAGGGACUAUCUAAAUUUGACUUUGGAUAGAGGGAUACCCUCUCCCCUCUCCUCUCUUCCAGUAAAUAAAAAGGUACUAAAUAACUCCUAUGUUCCAGGCACUGUGCUAGGUUCUGGGGGGUAUAAAUAAUAAAAGGGUCAUCCUUACCUUCAAUUAGCUUACACUGUCAUGGGAGAAGACAACACACGAAAGAAAGCUGGGAAGGGGUGGAGAGAAGAUAUCAAGGGAUACCUGGUACAGAGGCAUCUUAUUUCAUAGAGUUGAAACUAAUCAGAAUUGUGGAUGGAGAGUGGAGUGAGCUGGAAGUCCAGUUUCUGCCCUCCAUAAAAGAAGGCUUUGGACAUUUAGUGCUCUACCUUCCAGCACUCCAAGCAGAGGGCAGAGGAGGCUGAGGGAGGGAGGAAGGUCAAAGGUGGAGGAAGGUGUUGGUAACUGUAUUUCCAUGUAAUUGGUUUCCUUUGUAAUGCCAUGUAUUUUAUUUGAUACAUGUAAAAACAUUAUUCAGAAGAUUCCAGAGGUUUCACUGGACUACCUAAGCAGUCCAGGACACAAAAAGAUGAAGAACUCAAGGCAUUUAGCCUUAUUGGAGCAGGCUCCUCUAGGUGCUGCCUCUACUUUCUCUCCUAUCUUUGAAGCAAGUUAGGUCCUUUUAUAGCCUACAAGAAUGCUUUGGAGUCACGAGGGUAUUAUUUAGUGAUUUAUCCAAACAAAUUUAUCCCAAUGGCCUGAAAGAGUUAACGAAGUAUCUUAAUUUAUUCCCAAGGGUCAACAUUUAUGCACAGGUUCAACUAGUGAAUCCCGACUGACCUUCCAUUCUCUUUAGGACUCUUGAACUUGGCUGCGUUUAAACAAAUUUAUUUUCAGUGCUGGCAGAGUUCACUCUUUUCACUGAGUAAAAGAAAAAUCUGCAGACAAUGGUUUCCAUGCUUUAGUAGGAUGACUUCUAAACUAUUCCUGUUUGGAGGGCUUACGGAGUCAUCUACCCUUAUGUUCAGCUAGUGGUAUGCCAGUUUUCUGGAAACAUCUCACGGAGAAAGGUUCCUGAUCUUGCGCUGAUAGAAACAAAACUGUACUGUUAGAGUUUCUAGCCUAGAGAACUUGAAGAUACCACGUAGCAUCGAAUGCUUCCGAUCCUUUCCAAUGCCAAAAGCCAGAAAUCUAUCUUGGAUUUCUACUGACACAUCUGAACUCUUCUAUCUCAUUUGCUUUGAUAACUAAGGAAUUAUGGUAAAUGCCUCCAGAAGGAAUAGCUGUUAUUUCUGGAACUUAGGGUUUUGUUUUUGUUUUUCCACUAACCCAUGGAGGCAGACUAGUUCAUUUGGGAGAGGAAAAAGCUAGAAGCCAUUACCAAAAGCCUUUGUAAAUGCGUCAGCCUCUCACCCACUUAGAGUCUCCUACAGUGGGCAGAAAAAGAAGAGGCUAAGCUUUUGGGCUGGUGUUUAUCAACUGGCACUCAACACCAUGAUUUAGGAAGAACAAGAAAUCUAGGUAAGAUUUCAUGGCAGGGCAUGAGGUGAGCUUUGGUGGGGGUGAUGUGGGUGUCUGAUUGAAUGGCUGAUUUUCUCUGUGUGUCUAUGUCUGUGAUAGAUCCCCUGGGAAAGGUCUUCUUCAUUGGUCCAAGCCACAGUCUGCCUGAUAUGCUGGGCAUGGAGUACACUAAAAGGCAAUGGAGUGAUGAUAUAGCUGUGCCCUUAUUCCUGACAACAUCUUCUGAGGAUGGCACUUUUCCCUUGAGGGUACUUGUGGGAGAGGGCUCAGGAUCCUAACCCUACUCAAACGGGGAGUGGAUUUUUGUUCUUUUCAUUGCUCUCAAGUACUAUGUAAUGUCAUUUAGGGCAGAUAGUGUGCCAAUCCUAGAGUCAGAAAGACUUGAAUUCAGAUCCAGCCUCAGACUCUUGCUAGUUGUGUGACCCUGGGCAAACUUCAUCUCCUUUGACUCAGUUUCCUCAUCUGUCAAACUGUAGAAGGAAAUGGCAAACCACUCCAGUAUCUUUGCCAAGAAAACUCCAAAUCAGGUUUCAAAGAAAUGAAUACACCCGAAAUAUCAAAAUAUCAGUUAUCACUUAAAAUUUCUUAGAAUGUUUGGCCACAUGAUCUGAUUCAUAGCAUUUUGGAGGAAGGGAAAUCUUUCUAUUUUAUACAGAAAAAAGUACUAUUGUUACUAUUGUAAUAAUGAUACUAUUAUAAUAAUGAUAAUAAUAAUAAGCUAGCAAAUAGUUCUCUCAGAGAAAUAAAGGACUUUGCUCUGGUUUUCUCAUUAGAAGAGGCAAGGAAGAGUAAAGAGGAAGUGUGGUACAUGUAAAAUGAGGGGUUUUCUAAAUCUUGGAUGAAAGACAAGGUCAGAUUUGAAUUCUAGUUUCACUACCCAGUAGUUCUAUGAAGUUCUGCAAAUCACCAGCUAGUUGUUGCCACAGACAGAGCCCUGGGUCUGAUUUCAAAUUUGGUCUUAAAUAACUGUGCAACCUGGGGCACAUCACUUAAACUGCACUUGCCUCAGUUUCCUCAUCUGUAAUAUGGGAAAAUAAUAGCACCUACCUUCCAAGGUU